UACGAGGGGGGCAAGCGUUGUUCGGAAUCACUGGGCGUAAAGGGUGCGUAGGCGGGUCUUUAAGUCAGGGGUGAAAUCCUGGAGCUCAACUCCAGAACUGCCUUUGAUACUGAGGAUCUUGAGUUCGGGAGAGGUGAGUGGAACUGCGAGUGUAGAGGUGAAAUUCGUAGAUAUUCGCAAGAACACCAGUGGCGAAGGCGGCCUGCUGGGCAGUUGCUGACACUGAGGCGCGACAGCGUGGGGAGCAAACAGG
This 253-nucleotide ribosomal RNA is filed under the name uncultured bacterium. Its description in RNAcentral is "partial 16S ribosomal RNA". It matches the Rfam family "Bacterial small subunit ribosomal RNA", at positions 524 to 776 of the family's 1533-position model. The record is from RNAcentral.